CAGGAGAAUUGAGUACUUGGAGCAACCCAGGAGCACCUUUUUAUUUUCUUAAUGCUAUUUUUCGGUGAUCCUCUUCUGGUCUACAGAGAGAUAAAAGAAGGGGCAAAGAAGCAUUCCAUGCAGGGCUCAGACUCUUGCAGGACACAGCCAGAACUUCCUCUACCGUUCCAGACCUGCUACAGAAGUUUCUGGAGACCAUGAGCAUAGGACUGACCAACAAUUUGAGAAGAAGGAGGAAGGAAAAUAAGCAGAAAGUGUGAAUGAAGAAUAAGGGAAUGGAAUGAGCAAGAAGAGACUGGAAAAUUGAGGUCAAGAAGUGAGCAGAAGCUGAUUUCCUGUAUGCAACUGAAAAUCCAAAUAACAGUGGCU
Molecule: long non-coding RNA, 369 nt
Filed under: Callithrix jacchus (white-tufted-ear marmoset)
Lineage: Eukaryota; Metazoa; Chordata; Mammalia; Primates; Cebidae
Description: lncRNA (ENSCJAG00000080971.1)
Source: RNAcentral